CUACGUAGGGUGCAAGCGUUAAUCGGAAUUACUGGGCGUAAAGCGUGCGCAGGCGGUUAUAUAAGACAGAUGUGAAAUCCCCGGGCUCAACCUGGGAAUUGCAUCUGUGACUGUAUAGCUAGAGUACGGGAGAGGGGGAUGGAAUUCCGCGUGUAGCAGUGAAAUGCGUAGAUAUGCGGAGGAACACCGAUGGCGAAGGCAAUCCCCUGGACCUGUACUGACGCUCAUGCACGAAAGCGUGGGGAGCAAACAGGAUUAGAUACCCUGGUAGUCCACGCCCUAAACGAUGUCAACUGGUUGUUGGGUCUUCAUUGACUCAGUAACGAAGCUAACGCGUUAAGUCGACCGCCUGGGGAGUACGGCCGCAAGGUUGAAACUUAAAGGAAUUGACGGGG
This 395-nucleotide ribosomal RNA is filed under the name uncultured bacterium. RNAcentral's name for it is "partial 16S ribosomal RNA". It matches the Rfam family "Bacterial small subunit ribosomal RNA", at positions 523 to 918 of the family's 1533-position model. The record is from RNAcentral.